This is a long non-coding RNA of Tympanuchus pallidicinctus (lesser prairie-chicken), 2596 nucleotides long. RefSeq lists it as uncharacterized. The record is from RefSeq and is a predicted model, not a curated record. The transcript has 3 exons. NCBI's taxonomy places the organism in Eukaryota, Metazoa, Chordata, Aves, Galliformes, Phasianidae.
UUGCUAAAGGCUUGCUUUCCUACAAAUUAUGUACAUCAUUGCAGUGUUAAGUUCUCAAUGCAAGAUGAUUGUGCAUUUUUAAAAUAUCAAUUGGAAAAAAAAAAAAUUUCCCACAUAUGACUGAAUUCAUUAAAAAUACGUAUUUAGGAUACUACCUUUUGCUAUCAGAAUUUGUCAAAACAACCUGGCAGAAUUCAGCAAUGUAUUUCUAUUGAAAGUCAACAGCUAUGAAUCUCUCAUUCACUUGCAAAACAAAACCUUAAUUUGUUAUGGCCAAUAAUGAAGAUAUCACAGUGGAUCUUACAUUACUGCAAUUCUCUGCCAGUUUAUCUCUUGUUGAAUCUUUUGUGGCUAUCUCCUCUUUCUCAUAACUCUUUUAUUCAAAAAAUAAUUAUUGUUGUUUAAAAUUCCUAAUGCAUACUGGGCAUUAUUAUCCAAACUUAGGUCUUGCAACUAAAGUUAACUAACUCUGAGUUGGAGCUCACUUUCCUGUUUCUUUUCGGAGUGACACUUUAAAUGGAAAGCAUUUAUAGCCAACCUCUAAUCAACUGUACAAGGGUAUUGGGGUGAUUGCCUUUUUUUGGAUAUUUACUUUAAGCAGAAUAUUCCUCUUCAGGUGGAUUGGAGAUUCCGUGUAGUUUGGCUUUCUUGACUUUUCAAACCUUGAAAUUCAUGCAGCCAGAUAUUGGAUCUGUGUUAGAAUCUAGCAUGGUAUGUGACCAAAACACAACAAGUAAAAAAAGGAAAUAGAUAACGUAUGUAGUCUGUAGUAUCCCGUAUUUGUCACCAAUCACUAACCUUGAUUGAUAAUGCACUUUGUUACUUUGGUUUUCAUCUGAAAAUAAAUUGAGAUGUUUUACAAAUAAAUGAAGUAAUUAUUUCAUUUGGUGUUCCUUCUCAAAUUUUUGGUGUUUUUUGUUUUUGUUUUUUUCUUUAUAAGUAAACAUUUUAAUAGACAACUGUAGCAUUCAAUCUUUUCCUGAUUGCCCUUUAAGUAAAAGCCAUGUGUAGAAAUGAAAUGUUGCUGUGGAUAACUUAAUUGACUCUUUCUAUUGCUUGCUUCCUCACUACCUUUGAAGGUAUAUUUUUAAUUAUUUAUCAGAUAAAGUUUCUGGUCAAAAUGUGUUCUUUUGCACUCAUGGUCCCAUUUUCUUACCACCAAUGAUGAGGACCUUCUUUAGCUUUGCCUGUUAUCAACUGUUUAGAACUGAAAAAUGCACAGUAAAAAUUAAAUGCAAGGCAGACACCUUAUCACCUACAGAAGUACACUGUGUUGCCCAUUCUUAUAAAUCUUGUCAGCUUCUUGGAUGUUUCUGCCCAACUUUCUAUUUCCUAAUGUAUCAUUAGUGAGGAGAACACUAAAAAGUGUAUCCCAGCCUUGUGGCCAUGCAAGACAUUAUCAUAAAAUGGCAAAGUCCUUUUUGUUUUCUUUUGAGUCAUCUUUUCACAAUUAAUGAACUGUGAAAAAAAAUUGCUCAGUAAACAGACACAACCUAUGCAGUAGCGUUUAUGAUUAGAUCUUUACUGAAGGGCCAGUUUACGUGCCACCUGGAUUGCAGAAAUCAAUUCCUCCUAAUGUGUGGGUUUUUUUGUUUUUUUUUUUUUUUGUUUUUUCAAACUAUAAAGAUAAAAUGUCUGCUAUGCCAACGGGAGGAAAAGCUCUGACUGCAAGCAAAAUUAUGUAGGCUUUACUCUGAGGGGAAAAAAUCUUAUUAACAUUUAUAUUUAUAUCUUCAAUUUUCAGACAAUAGUUUUAGCUUUAUUUGGGGGCUGAAGUACCUUUCUGAUUUAAUAACAAGUGUACACCAGAAACUGUUUUCUUUUCCAGAAACAGAACUUUGCCACGUGUUUCUUGAAAUAACUGAUAUAUAGUUUUAUUCAUAAAAAUUAAUCUAUAAUUCAAUUUCUUUUACAAUCAGUUGACUCAAGAUAACUGACAACUGAAUGAACUGUGAUAAAGCUUUACUUUGUAAUGUACCUAACACAAUUAUCAUUUGGUAUAUUUCAUUAUAGGGAACAAUCUGUUUAUGUCAUUUGUUUUUAUGCCAAAUGUUUCCUCUUUUGUUCCUUGACACUUGUAUACUCUUGAUUUUCAAUUGUGGUACUCUGGGCUUCAGGGGAAAGGAGAAACUUCUCUAAUUUAUUGGAUACUUCCCUAGAUGUUUAAAGGUGUGCCUCUUAAAAGUCUUUUCAGGAGGAGACUGCUCAGCUUCUCUGUGUAACCAGUGCCAGUGCUUCAUCACCUUUACGACACAGAAGUGCAUCCUGAAGUUCAGAGGGAACCUUCUGUGUUCUGGCUUGUGCCCAUUGCCUCUGGUCCUGGCACUGGACAUCACUGGAAAUAGCAUGACCUUGUGUUCUUUUCACCCUCCUUUCAAGAAAAAAUUGCACCCACUGACAUUCACUAAUGCUUACUGAACAUUUAUGGAGAUUAACCAGUGGAUAAGAUCACAGUGAGGUAAGGGGUGGUGUUUUCCAGCAGUGGCAAUUGUGGUGUGAAAGACAAGCUAUGUUUCAGACAGCCAUGAAAACGUGUGUGAGUGCAGCAUGCAGGCUCUUGUUGAUUGCAGGUGAAAAGGCAUAGUAAUGCUGAUUA